CUGCACUAUAGACCGUCCGAUCGAAUUGAUCCAAUACUCCUUCUUCUCCUCAGAAUCAGCAAUAAAAUACAUAGUAUCAGACCUAGUUGAAAGCUCAAAUGCAAAUUGUUUAUUCAGAACAUCCUCAGCUCCUUUCACUGUAAGGCAAUUAGCCACCGGAAUAACACCUCGCGGUUUCGAUCCUCUAUUGAGAUUCGCUUCCUUGAACCAAAACAGUUUCCCCUGUUUCAACACGAACCACCGGCGACGCCAGGUUUUUAUGUACUCGCCUUGUUUUGUGAGCCAGCCGGCUCGUUCGGGGUUAACCCAGAAUUCUACUCCGUCGUAGUCGUCGGUCGAUGGAGUUGUGUUAUCGCCCAUCACUGCUCGCCAUAGACUGGCCAUGGGUGAUGCGAUUGAAGGAGAGAGAGAAAAAUG
RNAcentral lists this unclassified non-coding RNA (417 nucleotides) under Hevea brasiliensis (rubber tree). Lineage: Eukaryota; Viridiplantae; Streptophyta; Magnoliopsida; Malpighiales; Euphorbiaceae. The record is from RNAcentral.